UAAUACGUAGGGGGCGAGCGUUAUCCGGAAUGACUGGGCGUAAAGGGCGUGUAGGCGGCCGAUUAAGUAUGGAGUGAAAGUCCUGUUUUCAAGAUGGGAAUUGCUUUGUAGACUGGUUGGCUUGAGUACAGAAGAGGUAAGCGGAAUUCCCGGUGUAGCGGUGAAAUGCGUAGAGAUCGGGAGGAACACCAGUGGCGAAGGCGGCUUACUGGGCUGUAACUGACGCUGAGGCGCGAAAGCGUGGGGAGCGAACAGGAUUAGAUACCCUGGUAGUCCACGCGGUAAACGAUGAAUGCUAGGUGUAGCGGGUAUCGACCCCUGCUGUGCCGGAGUAAACACAAUAAGCAUUCCGCCUGGGGAGUACGGCCGCAAGGUUGAAACUCAAAGGAAUUGACGGGGGCCCGCACAAGCAGCGGAGCAUGUGGUUUAAUUCGACGCAACGCGAAGAACCUUACCAGGUCUUGACAUCCAGUAAAACUUGCAGAGAUGCAUCGUGAGCUUGCUCAUACUGAGACAGGUGGUGCAUGGUUGUCGUCAGCUC
This 541-nucleotide ribosomal RNA is filed under the name uncultured bacterium. RNAcentral's name for it is "bacterial SSU rRNA". It matches the Rfam family "Bacterial small subunit ribosomal RNA", at positions 521 to 1061 of the family's 1533-position model. The record is from RNAcentral.